RNAcentral lists this ribosomal RNA (497 nucleotides) under uncultured bacterium. Its description in RNAcentral is "partial 16S ribosomal RNA". It matches the Rfam family "Bacterial small subunit ribosomal RNA", at positions 28 to 507 of the family's 1533-position model. The record is from RNAcentral.
GAUGAACGCUGGCGGCGUGCCUAAUACAUGCCAGUCGAGCGAACGGACGAGAAGCUUGCUUCUCUGAUGUUAGCGGCGGACGGGUGAGUAACACGUGGAUAACCUACCUAUAAGACUCGGAUAACUUCGGGAAACCGGAGCUAAUACCGGAUAAUAUUUUGAACCGCAUGGUUCAAAAGUGAAAGACGGUCUUGCUGUCACUUAUAGAUGGAUCCGCGCUGCAUUAGCUAGUUGGUAAGGUAACGGCUUACCAAGGCAACGAUGCAUAGCCGACCUGAGAGGGUGAUCGGCCACACUGGAACUGAGACACGGUCCAGACUCCUACGGGAGGCAGCAGUAGGGAAUCUUCCGCAAUGGGCGAAAGCCUGACGGAGCAACGCCGCGUGAGUGAUGAAGGUCUUCGGAUCGUAAAACUCUGUUAUUAGGGAAGAACAUAUGUGUAAGUAACUGUGCACAUCUUGACGGUACCUAAUCAGAAAGCCACGGCUAGCUACGUG